Molecule: long non-coding RNA, 1416 nt
Organism: Leguminivora glycinivorella
Lineage: Eukaryota; Metazoa; Arthropoda; Insecta; Lepidoptera; Tortricidae
Exons: 3
Source: RefSeq, a predicted model, not a curated record
AAGAACCGAGUUGUGCUUGUCUUAUUACUUUCAGAUUAAGAACUGAGUUUCCAUUGCAUAUAUACACGCCGGAUUAAGAACCGAGUUGUGUUGCCUUUACAUGAUGUUAAUAAUAUAUUCUGUUCACAGGGUUUCCUGAUAAGCACAUUGUACCUGAAUCUUGUGGUAUCCAUGGUAGUGUAAUUAAUGUGAUAUCCACAAAUGAAGUGAUUUCCGUCACUUAAAGUAGGUCGCUGGUGAAAUUACGGUUUCCAAUAGAGCGGAGAGAGCAACUGUUCGGAAUGCCUAGCUGAACGAAUGCAUGCUACAGGCUGCGCGACAACCUUGUCAUGAAGGGCCGACUUCUGCGGUCGUUGCGCUGACAGCCACGAAAGAAGCCGUAUCACCGUGGCUUUCGUAUGAAGAUUUGAUAUGAGCUUCUUAACAAGAGCUUGUGCUGUGUUGGAAGGUGGCUAUGAUCACGCAUAGGGUGUGUCAUGUUAACCUCUCACGAGUUGUACGCCUUCUUGCGCAUGUGGGGAGCUUCACGGCCUACAGUGACGAAGCCAACUGUGAGUUUGUUCCAUGUAUUUGCUAUUUAAACGACGCCAAUCAUCAUUAUUAUAUUGAGCGGUUGGUUAGUUUGGAAUGCACCGCUCACGUAAGUCUUAACUUAAGGCAUAAAUGGCAUAAUACUUGCCUGAAAAUAAAUGAAAUGUAUUGAUGGGUGAAGUUAUUUACAAGCAAAUAUUAGAUGGUGUUUUGUACACCAGUAAUUACCUGCCCGCCGCUAGAUGUCAUCUAUUUUACAUAAUUAAUUUGACUAAUAUAUAGUAUCGAUCAUGGCGGUAAAACAUGUACUUUUCGUACCAUCGCAUCUUAAUAGUUUUAAAGCCUUACAGGCUGUGGAUUUGUUAAAUAAUGACCUGACUUACUUGUACUAGGCUAGUCUGGUCAUGCAAUCUUGAGUUUAGUUAUGUCAUUACUAUGAUUCGACUAUAAAAUGAGGCCAAUUACAUAUCUUGGUGUAAGUUAGUCUUAAACUACACCGGCCGUUUCCAACGGUUCUCGAGUUAAUCACUUCAAAGGACCAGGGCCUGAGUGUAUAGCUGGAGUAUACAAAGUUCUUGUUCACUUUGCAGAAAAGAAAAGAACAAAUGAACAGAUGAAGUCUACCGCCACCCGUUGGAGGCGCGGCCUGCUUCGGCUGCGUUGACUGCGGCAGUCAUCAGUAGCAGCAUGGAUAGCAGAGACCUUCGGGACGAAAGGUCAAGGUCAGAAUGGGCGAAUGUAAGGACAUCACUAGUCGCUGGUCCCCAUCCCUAGGCAUCGCUGUCAACUGGGCGUCAGACGGACUGGAAGCUUCCAUUGGGAGCGUUUGUCACUAAGAUUGUAUUUUGAGAUUCCGUUCAAUAAACUGUAUAAUUAAUAGUGGUA